CCAAAAUCUUAAAAAGUGUAUCUGGAGAAAAUGACCAACCUUGCCUUCAAGUUGAAAAAUGUUGAAUGUAGAGAAAGGUUGUUUUUAUUAAAAAGCACCUAUGACAUAAUGGUUAAGGCUUUAACGAGUAUUAUAAUGAUCAUUUGAUUUGAACCCUCUUUUCAGCCACACCCUUCUUUCACCUGAAUGCUAAUGAAGCAUGACAAUGCCUUUGUUAAUAUUCAUUGCAAU
This is a long non-coding RNA of Labrus mixtus (cuckoo wrasse), 231 nucleotides long. RefSeq lists it as uncharacterized. The transcript has 2 exons. NCBI's taxonomy places the organism in Eukaryota, Metazoa, Chordata, Actinopteri, Labriformes, Labridae. The record is from RefSeq and is a predicted model, not a curated record.